UUUUCUCAACAUUUUGAAAUAAAAGUAUAGCUUUUCAAUAUCUUUCAGAUGCCUCAAAGAUCCGACUAAUGUGAAGUUUUUAAAAACACAAAUUUGCAGGCGCAAGAUAAGUGUGAAAAGGCUGAACCAGCUAAGAAGUGUUCCAUUGGUAUCUACACAAAUGUCAAGAGACAGAGGAAAUCUCUUAACAAUUUGGGGAGACCCUGAAGGAAGGAGGGAGUCAUGGGAGGAUACAGAAAAGAGUUGGAGCAAAUGAAAAGGCAUGGAUGGGAUCCAGUCUGCCCCAUUGGAGAAAGUACCUAUGGCUAUAUGAUAGGAGAUCCAUUGAAGUAAAAAUAUUAGCCAUCAAAUAUUUUGGCCUUUGGCCUUGCUGUCACCAAGAAAGUUAUUUUAUGUGAUAUUCAGAAGCCUGAAAACUUGCACUCUUUUUCUGUGGAUACACCUGUUACUUACAUGCAUUGGAUGGAAGUUAUGAAAGUAGGUUUCUGGUUCGUGUCUCGGCUUAUGCUUAUCAAGUGACUUGAAAUCAUUAUCAGUUAUUACAGAGACAGGAGAUUCUACCAGUAUUAUGUCAGAAAUUUCAUAUUUUCAGGAAUCAUCUGAGAAUUUGAAAUCCUGUUCAGGUAAGGAUUCCCAAGAAUCUUCUGAAAUACCUGGAUGCAAUUAUUUUAACUUUUACAGGACAGUUGUGGCCCAGAGGGCUUGCCUGCUGCCCCAGAAGCAGAAUUCAGAAAGCUUCUGAAGCUUUGCAUUCGGGAGUCAACAAGUGUUUGCUUCCCAGAUGUUCUUUUUAGAUUGUGAUCCUAUCUUUGCAUUUUACAUUUCUCUGUGACAGAAAGGAUUUCAUGUGAUGAGUGUGUGAGUGUGUAUAAGCUAGCAGGGAACAGCUCUAUAGUGUUUUUAAUGCUGAGGCCACUUGGGGAGCACAGGAAAGAGAGUGGUAGCCCCGGGAUCUGGAGGAUCUGAGUUCAAAUUUGCCCUCAGACACUUGGCACUAAGUAGUUGGGUGGCUCUAGGCUUGAUCACCUCCCUCCUCCCUCAAAUGCUGUGAGACCUGAAAUAGGGGCUUUGGUGACCAAAUUAUACAUUAAAUGAUAUAUUUUUUUUUAAAAGAAUUUUAAAUAAUAGCUUUCUAUUUUCAAAAUACAUGUAAAGAUAGUUUUCAUCAUUCACCCUUGAAAAAAUCUUGUGUUCCAAAUUUUUCUCCCUUCCUUCCUCUUACUCCCUCACUUUGACAGCAAACAAUCCAAUAUAUGUAAACGAUGUACAAUUCUUCUCUACUUAUUUCAACAUUUAUCAUGAGAGAAAUCAGAUCAAAAAGGGAAAAACUGAGAAAGAAAACAAAAAAGGUGAGAAUGCUAUGUUGUGAUCCACAUUCAGUUCCCUUCCCAGUCCUCUCUCUGGUGUAGAUGGUUCUCUCUAUCACAGGUCUAUUGGAACUGUCCUGAAUCAUCUUGCUGGUGAAAAGAGCCAUGUCUGUCAGAAUUGAUCAUCACAUACUCUUGUUGUUGCCGUGUACAAUUAAUUCCUGGUUCUCCUCACUUCCUUCAGCAUCAGUUCAUGACUUGGAAAAAGCUUGACCCCUCAGUAGAGUCCUCAUACUCCAGUAUACAGAAAUUGGUCAUAAGUCACUUAUAGAGAGUUCAGAGCUUCAUUUUUGAAAAGGAAAGUAUUUCAAUGCUGAAAGAGUUGGUCAGGCUUGAUGAACAGAGUGAUCUUAUACCUAUACAUACUGUCUUCCUGGAGAGUCAGUGGAGAAUAUGAAAGUGCAAUAUUUGCUGUGAAUAGUUUUCGGAAAGUCUCUUGUGUAUUAAGCUCAAAUCUCUGUCAUGUUAGAGUAUUUGAAAUGGAUGUAGAUGAUGGGGAAAUUGAAGAGGAAGAGAAGGAUGAAGAAGAGGAGGAAUCUUCAUCCCAUCACGUGUCUGCAUCUUGCACAGAGUAAAUACCCUUUAUUAGAUUUAGAACUCAGUCCAGCCUCCUAAGUGCAGUAAUUGCUAGUGUUAAGAAGAGAGAAAACAAGUCACUAAAGACAGCCUGAUGGAAAAGAUGACCAUGACAACGUG
This is a long non-coding RNA of Sarcophilus harrisii (Tasmanian devil), 2063 nucleotides long. Lineage: Eukaryota; Metazoa; Chordata; Mammalia; Dasyuromorphia; Dasyuridae. The record is from Ensembl.